Long non-coding RNA from Oncorhynchus masou masou (cherry salmon), 219 nucleotides. RefSeq lists it as uncharacterized. The record is from RefSeq and is a predicted model, not a curated record. NCBI's taxonomy places the organism in Eukaryota, Metazoa, Chordata, Actinopteri, Salmoniformes, Salmonidae. The transcript is spliced from 3 exons.
GGGGAAUGCUGGGUCUGAUGGGGUACCUGGCAAGGAUGGACUUAUAGGAGCCAGGGGAGAUAGAGGGAAUCCUGGUGCUGAGGGUCUUGCUGGAACUCCGGGGCUUCAUGGCUCUGUUGGUCCAGUCGGCACCUCUGGAGUCCCUGGGAAGAGAGGAGACAAUGGUGCUAGAGGGCCUCCAGGACCCCAGGGACAAUCAGGGAUCCGGGGGAAGCUGGU